Molecule: ribosomal RNA, 667 nt
Filed under: uncultured bacterium
Lineage: Bacteria
Description: bacterial SSU rRNA
Rfam family: Bacterial small subunit ribosomal RNA
Source: RNAcentral
UUUGAUCAUGGCUCAGAACGAACGCUGGCGGCAGGCUUAACACAUGCAAGUCGAGCGCCCCGCAAGGGGAGCGGCAGACGGGUGAGUAACGCGUGGGAACGUACCCUUUACUACGGAACAACUCCGGGAAACUGGAGCUAAUACCGUAUGUGCCCUUUGGGGGAAAGAUUUAUCGGUAAAGGAUCGGCCCGCGUUGGAUUAGCUAGUUGGUGGGGUAAAGGCCUACCAAGGCGACGAUCCAUAGCUGGUCUGAGAGGAUGAUCAGCCACAUUGGGACUGAGACACGGCCCAAACUCCUACGGGAGGCAGCAGUGGGGAAUAUUGGACAAUGGGCGCAAGCCUGAUCCAGCCAUGCCGCGUGAAUGAUGAAGGCCUUAGGGUUGUAAAGUUCUUUCACCGGAGAAGAUAAUGACGGUAUCCGGAGAAGAAGCCCCGGCUAACUUCGUGCCAGCAGCCGCGGUAAUACGUAGGGUGCAAGCGUUAAUCGGAAUUACUGGGCGUAAAGCGUGCGCAGGCGGUUUUGUAAGACAGAGGUGAAAUCCCCGGGCUCAACCUGGGAACUGCCUUUGUGACUGCAAGGCUGGAGUGCGGCAGAGGGGGAUGGAAUUCCGCGUGUAGCAGUGAAAUGCGUAGAUAUGCGGAGGAACACCGAUGGCGAAGGCAAUCC